This 30-nucleotide non-coding RNA is filed under the name Homo sapiens (human). The record is from RNAcentral. Lineage: Eukaryota; Metazoa; Chordata; Mammalia; Primates; Hominidae.
CCUCACCUACCAGAUGAUGGGCGGCUGGGC